GGCGAGAUGGCCGAGUGGUCUAAGGCGCUGGUUUUAGGCACCAGUCUCUUCGGAGGCGUGGGUUCGAAUCCCACUCUCGUCA
Ascaris lumbricoides (common roundworm) is the source of this 82-nucleotide non-coding RNA. The record is from Rfam. NCBI's taxonomy places the organism in Eukaryota, Metazoa, Nematoda, Chromadorea, Rhabditida, Ascarididae.